This 428-nucleotide ribosomal RNA is filed under the name uncultured bacterium. RNAcentral's name for it is "bacterial SSU rRNA". It matches the Rfam family "Bacterial small subunit ribosomal RNA", at positions 355 to 775 of the family's 1533-position model. The record is from RNAcentral.
UGGGGAAUUUUGGACAAUGGGGGCAACCCUGAUCCAGCAAUGCCGCGUGUGUGAAGAAGGCCUUCGGGUUGUAAAGCACUUUUGUCCGGAAAGAAAUCGCACUUACUAAUAUUAGGUGUGGAUGACGGUACCGGAAGAAUAAGGACCGGCUAACUACGUGCCAGCAGCCGCGGUAAUACGCAGGGUCCAAGCGUUAAUCGGAAUUACUGGGCGUAAAGCGUGCGCAGGCGGUUGUGCAAGACCGAUGUGAAAUCCCCGGGCUUAACCUGGGAAUUGCAUUGGUGACUGCACGGCUAGAGUGUGUCAGAGGGGGGUAGAAUUCCACGUGUAGCAGUGAAAUGCGUAGAGAUGUGGAGGAAUACCGAUGGCGAAGGCAGCCCCCUGGGAUAACACUGACGCUCAUGCACGAAAGCGUGGGGAGCAAACAG